GUGGGUAGCGGUGAAAUUCCAAUCGAGCCCGGAGAUAGCUGGUUCUCCCCGAAAUAGCUUUAGGGCUAGCCUCAAGGUGAGAGAUACGGAGGUAGAGCACUGAAUGUCCUAGGGGGUAUUGCACCUACCGAAGACUAUCAAACUCCGAAUGCCGUCAUCUUAUACUUGGGAGUCAGACUGUGGGUGAUAAGAUUCAUAGUCGAAAGGGCAACAGCCCAGAUCGUCAGCUAAGGUCCCUAAAUGUAAGUUAAGUGGUAAAGGAUGUGGGAUUGCACAGACAACCAGGAUGUUGGCUUAGAAGCAGCCACUCAUUCAAAGAGUGCGUAAUAGCUCACUGGUCGAGUGAUCCUGCGCCGAAGAUUUCCGGGGCUAAAACUUACUACCGAAGCUACGGCAUCAGUAAUGAUGGGUAGGGGAGCUUCCCAUACGGGUUGAAGCAUGACCGUAAGGACAUGUGGACAGUAUGGGAGUGAGAAUGUUGGCAUGAGUAGCGAGAUGUGGGUGAGAAUCCCACAGGCCGUAAACCCAAGGUUUCCAGGGGAAGGUUCGUCCGCCCUGGGUUAGUCGGGACCUAAGCUGAGGCCGAAAGGCGUAGGUGAUGGACAACAGGUUGAUAUUCCUGUACUACCGAU
Molecule: ribosomal RNA, 632 nt
Filed under: Clostridioides difficile
Lineage: Bacteria; Bacillati; Bacillota; Clostridia; Peptostreptococcales; Peptostreptococcaceae
Description: bacterial LSU rRNA
Rfam family: Bacterial large subunit ribosomal RNA
Source: RNAcentral